RNAcentral lists this ribosomal RNA (353 nucleotides) under Cochlicella acuta. RNAcentral's name for it is "partial large subunit ribosomal RNA". Lineage: Eukaryota; Metazoa; Mollusca; Gastropoda; Stylommatophora; Geomitridae. The record is from RNAcentral.
UGUGCAAAGGUAGCAUAAUCAAUUGGCUUGUAAUUUAAGUCUGGUAUGAAUGUAGUUUUAGGCUAAAGCUGUCUCUUUAUGUUAAUUGAAAUUUACUUAGCCGGUGAAAAUACCGGCAGUUAUAUAAUAGACGAGAAGACCCUAGAAAUUUUUUGAAAAGUAUAAGUAAAAUAUAUAUUGGAUUUUGUUGGGGCGACAGAGUAACAGUUAACUUACUCUAUUUAAUGUGAAUUAAUUAUGGAAAUGUAAAUUACUCUAGGGAUAACAGCAUAAUUCUAUUAGUGUUUGUGACCUCGAUGUUGGACUAGGAAAGAUAAUAUUCAGAAGAUAUUAUUAUAGGCUCUGUUCGCGCC